GACGAACGCUGGCGGCGUGCUUAACACAUGCAAGUCGAACGGAAAGGCCCUGCGUUUGUGGGGUGCUCGAGUGGCGAACGGGUGAGUAACACGUGAGUAACCUGCCCUUGACUUUGGGAUAACUUCAGGAAACUGGGGCUAAUACCGGAUAGGAGCUCCUGCUGCAUGGUGGGGGUUGGAAAGUUUCGGCGGUUGGGGAUGGACUCGCGGCUUAUGAGCUUGUUGGUGGGGUAGUCGCAUACCAAGGGUUUGACGGGUAGCCGGCCUUAGAGGUUGACCGGCGACAUUGGGACUGAGAUACGGCGCAGAAUCCUACGGGAGGCAGCAGUGGGGAAUAUUGCACAAUGGGGGGAAGCCUGAUGCGGCAACGCUGCGUGCGGGAUGAUGGGCUUCGGGUUGUAAACCACUGUCUACUGUACCGAAGCGUGAGUGACGGUAAUGGGUAAAAAAGCACCGGCUAACUACGUG
Molecule: ribosomal RNA, 468 nt
Filed under: uncultured bacterium
Lineage: Bacteria
Description: partial 16S ribosomal RNA
Rfam family: Bacterial small subunit ribosomal RNA
Source: RNAcentral